RNAcentral lists this ribosomal RNA (305 nucleotides) under uncultured bacterium. RNAcentral's name for it is "bacterial SSU rRNA". It matches the Rfam family "Bacterial small subunit ribosomal RNA", at positions 173 to 507 of the family's 1533-position model. The record is from RNAcentral.
AAUAUCCAUCUCGUAUGGAUUAAAGCUUUAUGCGCUUGGGGAGGGGCCUGCGUAACAUUAGCUUGUUGGUGAGGUAAAAGCUCACCAAGGCUUCGAUGUUUAACUGGUUUGAGAGGAUGACCAGUCACACUGGGACUGAGAUACGGCCCAGACUCCUACGGGAGGCAGCAGUAAGGAAUCUUCCACAAUGGGGCAACCCUGAUGGAGCAAUACCGCGUGCAGGAUGAAGCGUUUCGGCGUGUAAACUGCUUUUAUCACCGAAGAUUAUGACUGUAGGUGAAGAAUAAGGACCGGCUAACUACGUG